Molecule: ribosomal RNA, 253 nt
Filed under: uncultured bacterium
Lineage: Bacteria
Description: partial 16S ribosomal RNA
Rfam family: Bacterial small subunit ribosomal RNA
Source: RNAcentral
UACAGAGGUGGCAAGCGUUGUUCGGAAUUACUGGGCGUAAAGGGCGCGUAGGCGGCCUUCUAAGUCAGACGUGAAAUCCCCCGGCUUAACCUGGGAACUGCGUCUGAUACUGGGAGGCUAGAGUAUGGGAGAGGGAUGUAGAAUUCCAGGUGUAGCGGUGAAAUGCGUAGAUAUCUGGAGGAAUACCGGUGGCGAAGGCGGGUCUCUGGGCAACUACUGACGCUGAGGAGCGAAAGCGUGGGGAGCGAACAGG